AAUCAGAGAGAUUAGACGUACAUUUAUUCGUGUCACUUCGUGACAAAUAUCUUUGGUACUUUUAUAGGCAUUUUUUACCUUCAUAUUCACGCUAUCGUUAUUUUCACUUAAUUAUUGCAAUUAUUUGAUUUCGAAGGAAGCUUGAAAGUAUUAGAGAGAUGCUGCGAAAUUCGAAAGGACGGGAUGAAAGUCAAAAGGACGCCAUGGUGAUUAACAAUAAAUUUAAUAACUUUUCGUCGAAAUGAGAACAACAUCGAAGACAAUAUUCUUCACAUCUAAUCGAUUCAUUGUAAGAUCGACUAUAGAACAAUUAUAUUAUGUAUCCCACACAAUGUUCCAAACAAUUUCCCGUUCCUUCCCUUUAUGACAAUUUUUGUGUAGAUAGGUUUCUUUUAUAUGGGAUCCCUAUAAAUAGGCUUCCAAAUUUUUCUAGUUAGGACUCGUAGAAGAACAGUUGAGAAUUCUGAUACUUAGGAUAAAUUAAAGGACCUCUAGAUUUCUGAUGAGUAGGGUUUAAAGAGAUCUCUAGGUUCGUGAUAGGAAGGUUUCUACAUAUAAAGACCCUUUUAGACCCUCAUAGGUAGAGCUAAUACAAAAUUUUUUAUUUUAUUUUAAUCGAUUUAAAUUCAAGUUUGUUUCAGAAAUAUCUACAGAAAC
RNAcentral lists this unclassified non-coding RNA (657 nucleotides) under Bombus terrestris (buff-tailed bumblebee). RNAcentral describes it as "misc RNA ENSBTSG00005035014.1". The record is from RNAcentral. Lineage: Eukaryota; Metazoa; Arthropoda; Insecta; Hymenoptera; Apidae.